This 1710-nucleotide ribosomal RNA is filed under the name Escherichia coli. RNAcentral's name for it is "partial 23S ribosomal RNA". It matches the Rfam family "Bacterial large subunit ribosomal RNA", at positions 1 to 1744 of the family's 2925-position model. The record is from RNAcentral. Lineage: Bacteria; Pseudomonadati; Pseudomonadota; Gammaproteobacteria; Enterobacterales; Enterobacteriaceae.
GGGUUGUGAGGUUAAGCGACUAAGCGUACACGGUGGAUGCCCUGGCAGUCAGAGGCGAUGAAGGACGUGCUAAUCUGCGAUAAGCGUCGGUAAGGUGAUAUGAACCGUUAUAACCGGCGAUUUCCGAAUGGGGAAACCCAGUGUGAUUCGUCACACUAUCAUUAACUGAAUCCAUAGGUUAAUGAGGCGAACCGGGGGAACUGAAACAUCUAAGUACCCCGAGGAAAAGAAAUCAACCGAGAUUCCCCCAGUAGCGGCGAGCGAACGGGGAGCAGCCCAGAGCCUGAAUCAGUGUGUGUGUUAGUGGAAGCGUCUGGAAAGGCGCGCGAUACAGGGUGACAGCCCCGUACACAAAAAUGCACAUGCUGUGAGCUCGAUGAGUAGGGCGGGACACGUGGUAUCCUGUCUGAAUAUGGGGGGACCAUCCUCCAAGGCUAAAUACUCCUGACUGACCGAUAGUGAACCAGUACCGUGAGGGAAAGGCGAAAAGAACCCCGGCGAGGGGAGUGAAAAAGAACCUGAAACCGUGUACGUACAAGCAGUGGGAGCACGCUUAGGCGUGUGACUGCGUACCUUUUGUAUAAUGGGUCAGCGACUUAUAUUCUGUAGCAAGGUUAACCGAAUAGGGGAGCCGAAGGGAAACCGAGUCUUAACUGGGCGUUAAGUUGCAGGGUAUAGACCCGAAACCCGGUGAUCUAGCCAUGGGCAGGUUGAAGGUUGGGUAACACUAACUGGAGGACCGAACCGACUAAUGUUGAAAAAUUAGCGGAUGACUUGUGGCUGGGGGUGAAAGGCCAAUCAAACCGGGAGAUAGCUGGUUCUCCCCGAAAGCUAUUUAGGUAGCGCCUCGUGAAUUCAUCUCCGGGGGUAGAGCACUGUUUCGGCAAGGGGGUCAUCCCGACUUACCAACCCGAUGCAAACUGCGAAUACCGGAGAAUGUUAUCACGGGAGACACACGGCGGGUGCUAACGUCCGUCGUGAAGAGGGAAACAACCCAGACCGCCAGCUAAGGUCCCAAAGUCAUGGUUAAGUGGGAAACGAUGUGGGAAGGCCCAGACAGCCAGGAUGUUGGCUUAGAAGCAGCCAUCAUUUAAAGAAAGCGUAAUAGCUCACUGGUCGAGUCGGCCUGCGCGGAAGAUGUAACGGGGCUAAACCAUGCACCGAAGCUGCGGCAGCGACGCUGAUGCGUUGUUGGGUAGGGGAGCGUUCUGUAAGCCUGUGAAGGUGUGCUGUGAGGCAUGCUGGAGGUAUCAGAAGUGCGAAUGCUGACAUAAGUAACGAUAAAGCGGGUGAAAAGCCCGCUCGCCGGAAGACCAAGGGUUCCUGUCCAACGUUAAUCGGGGCAGGGUGAGUCGACCCCUAAGGCGAGGCCGAAAGGCGUAGUCGAUGGGAAACAGGUUAAUAUUCCUGUACUUGGUGUUACUGCGAAGGGGGGACGGAGAAGGCUAUGUUGGCCGGGCGACGGUUGUCCCGGUUUAAGCGUGUAGGCUGGUUUUCCAGGCAAAUCCGGAAAAUCAAGGCUGAGGCGUGAUGACGAGGCACUACGGUGCUGAAGCAACAAAUGCCCUGCUUCCAGGAAAAGCCUCUAAGCAUCAGGUAACAUCAAAUCGUACCCCAAACCGACACAGGUGGUCAGGUAGAGAAUACCAAGGCGCUUGAGAGAACUCGGGUGAAGGAACUAGGCAAAAUGGUGCCGUAACUUCGGGAGAA